Molecule: long non-coding RNA, 456 nt
Organism: Xyrauchen texanus (razorback sucker)
Lineage: Eukaryota; Metazoa; Chordata; Actinopteri; Cypriniformes; Catostomidae
Exons: 4
Source: RefSeq, a predicted model, not a curated record
GAUAAUUAGAGAGGCGUGAAGAACGAUGCAGCACCCUCAGAACAAACACUAGCCCACAGCAGCCAUGUAUCCUGAGGGUGUUGAUCUGCUGCACUUCCCCAUUGUUGAAGAAGGCCUUAUGAAACCAGUAGUUUAGCAAAAAUGGAUCAGCACACUGAACCUGGACUCGGAACACAGCACUGUCAGAUGAGUCCUCCACAAUAUGAAUAGUUAGCACAUCCAUGAAGCUACAAAGACAAGGGAUAGUGUGUGGAGACUCCAACAGAAUUUCUUGAUGACGAUCCUGGGUAAAUCGAGAGCGUUUCCCCUCAUACUUCUAAACUGAAAGCUACAGACUCAACCAGAUGGGAGAACUAAAUAAACAUAUGGCAUUGUUAGUAGUAGAUGAGAAGAAUCCUUCUGAAGAAAGCAUUCGUUACAGUAACUCUGAUGGAAAAGUUGGCUACAGAAAACAGA